Molecule: unclassified non-coding RNA, 4866 nt
Filed under: Priapulus caudatus
Lineage: Eukaryota; Metazoa; Priapulida; Priapulimorpha; Priapulimorphida; Priapulidae
Description: fERM domain-containing protein 3-like, transcript variant X1
Source: RNAcentral
UGGCUGGACGGCCUGUGAAGACCAUCUUUGAGGCAGAUGAAAGGUCAUGAGCCGUACAUCUUCUGCUUCCGAGUUAAGUUCUAUCCGCCGGACCCGAGCAAGCUGCAGGAGGAGAUCACGCGCUACCAGCUGUUCCUGCAGAUGCGCAGGGACCUGCUCCACGGCAGAUUGUUCUGCUCUCCCAGCGACUCAGCCUGGCUCGCCGCGCACGUCAUACAGUCUGAGCUUGGAGACUACGACCCAGACGUACAUCAGGAGGGAUACGUGUCAGAGUUCAAGGUCCUGCUGAAGCAGACACCCAAGCAGGAGGAGAAGAUUGCUGAGAUUCACCAAGCUCAGCUCAGCGGUCAGACUCCGGCCACGGCCGAACUCAACUUCAUCAAGAAGGCAUCGGCGUUCGACACGUAUGGAGUUGACCCUCAUCCUGUGAAGGACCAGAAAGGCAGUCACCUGUAUGUGGGCAUCACCCACACUGGCAUCAUGACCUUCCAGGGAAACAAGAAGACACACCAUUUCAAAUGGCCUGACGUGCAAAAGCUUCACUUUGAAGGCAAGAUGUUCAUCAUCCACCUGACGUAUAAUGAGAAGAAGCAUGCAUGUGGCUUCAAGUGUCCGACCGUCGCCGCCUGCAGGCAUCUGUGGAAGUGCUCCGUCGAACAGAAGACAUUCUGGACGGUUCCCAGCUCACGGGAGGUGACGACAUUCUCUUCCGGCUCCUCUACCCUGAUGACCCUCGCCCGCGGCUCAAGGUUCCGCUACAGUGGCCGCACCGAGCGAGAGAUUCUGGAGAACAGGGUAAACCGUGACCCUCCGGACUUCUCACGGUCUUCUGUGAAGCAGCAGGCACCAAAGAGGAAGAAGAAGGGCGCUUAUAUCUCCAACUCUGCCAAGGAGAUCUCGCACGAUUCGAUGGGGGAUGAGCCGACGACCCCGGGAACCCCGGAGAGCCCCAGUUCUCCAUCGUCGCUGAUGGACCAGCAGCCAGACACGAUCCUGGAGGAGCCGCCGCAGGAGGCAGCCGUCGACGUGCCGCUCGUGAGGGAGACAAGCGGCUGGGAGAAGACGAACAGUGGCUGGAAGUACGCGCCAAUGCACUCGCUCGACCUCGACGAGUCAGCUAUCAGGAACCUCGACCUGAGCAUGGAAUCAGACGUGUUCCAAUCGUCGGCCGUCAACCACGUUCACGCCUCGCCGCGCGACGCUACCGCCGCCGCCGCCGCCACGUCUACCCCGCGUAACCCCGAACCUCCGAAGCAGCUGUGGGCGCAGGAUGCGUCGCCGGGCGCAGAGGGAGCGGCCGCCGCCGCCGGGGUCAAGGGUCGGUCGUGGGCACGGACGGUCGUCGCGACGGCGUUUGUCAUGACGCUGCUCACGCUCAUUGCCAUCGUGCUCGUCAUGGAGCUCGACGCUCUGCGCGACCUCCGCGCGACACCAGAGGUCGCCGCUCUCCGCGCGCAGUACUACGCGCCGGCGAAGAGGGCGCUCGGCAUCCCGUGAGGUGCGCCGGCGCCACCUGUCGGCGGAGGAACGGAGGGUGACGACAGAGGGAGCCACGGUGGGUGCAUGUCGGAGGGAGUCGCUGACCCACCGGGGAUCAUUUCGUCAUUGGUUUAGAGAUCCAACUAGUUUCGCAUCUAGUUGCCUGUUUCACUACGGAUAAAUGGAGUAGAGAUUGGAGUAGUAGUUCCUUGAUCAGCACUAGUACUAUAGCACGUGAGAUGCAGCAUACCUUGACAAGCCUCAGGGCCUUUCCUGCACUGUCGUGCAAGCGCACGAUUUUGCAGCAAAUAUGAAAGACCACAAAUACGAAUUGUUUUUGUCCUUAUAAGGAUGUGAAUGCACAAAUGAAUGAUACAGUGAUUACAGCCAACUUCUAUUUCUAUCAGGGGUACUGGGUCACAGUUUUAAUUGAACUAUGUAUCGCCGAAUUAAACUAUAUAUGUCGUUGCUGCGACCCGCACCCAAGCCCUGCCGACGAGCUAUUUUACAUAUUUGUCGGAGAGACGUAUUUUUACAGAUUUGACAUUCCACGAGGGAAUCGUAGUAGAUUAAUCGUGUAUCGUAAUCAUUUAAUUACGUACUUUAAACAUGUACAUUCCACUGGCGACUAUAUUUACGGGGAGAGCGGUGGACGGACGGAAUUUUUCGGUAACUUGUCCUGUACAUAUAUAUUUAACUGUCGCCGUUCGUUAAAAGACGACUUUUUAAAUGGAGUGGAUUCAAUUUUUAACGUGCACUUGUUUCGGCGAAGUGAUUAAUGAUCCAUCAUUUAGGCGUAGAUGUAGUCGUAACGUCGUUGUCCAUACUAAUCCCAGCGUGGAUAGCAUUCUAAAUAAUCUUUUCUGGGCGAAUAACAUUUCAUAUCUAGGAACGCAUAUAUCGUCACUGAUCUGGUGACGGAGUCAUCGCCUCCUGCGAGUUUGAAACUGUAAUUUUAGUGAAGUGUAAUUUUAUAAUCUCUAGGGACGCGUAGCCUAACACUAAAUCAAAACUUUCACGAUGGCUACUUCUAUUAAUUAAGGCAUUCUGGCGUUGGGGUUGGGGGCACGGUUAGGGCGAUGAUUAACGUUGUUACCUAGUCUUCCCCCUAUCCUGGUGCUCUCUUCCAAGAAACCCUAAUCGCGUAAUGUACAAUGUACCAGACCAUCUGGUUUAACGAGGGCCAAAUUUACAUACAUACACCUGUCUAUCAAAUACAGAAAUCAUAACUGUGACGUCGUACAUGCUACAGAACUAUGACGGCGUGGACGCCACGGAACUGUGACGUACACGUCACAGAACUAUGACGUACACCUCACAGAACUGUUACGUGCACGCCACAUAAAUAUGUAGUGUAAACCACAGAACUAAGAAGUCUCGUCUGACGUGUUACUGCUCACCUGCGUCACGUGAUGUACGGAGCAACGAUGACGCUCAUGCGCUGGUCUCCCCGGGAAGGUACUGUGGGCGUGGCCGAGCCUGCAUCCUCGUGUUACGUCACCAAACGCUGCGAGUUUAGAAUAUAGUCGUUAGUUAAUUUGUCGCUAAGACGUCGUGGUGUUCCCUGGAUGACUAAACAUACCGCAGGUUGCACAUUCCAAUUAUUUGUGGAAGUACGGAUGUCCUAUAUAUACACGUUUACAUGUACGUAUAUACGCGUACAUAUGUAUAUAACAACAGGUAUAGGUUCCCGUUUGAUUCCCCGUUGAAGAUAUUAGUCGGAUUGUAGCGAUACGUUUGUGCGUUUUUAGCGUUCUGUACGGAAUCGUGUGCAUGAAAUUUUUCGCCUCUCGCGUUUUGGGUGCAGAGGGGAGAGAGAUGCGUCUGCGCACUCGUGGGUGGUGGGUGUUUUUUUUUAAAUGGAAAAAACGUGCUUUGUACUUGUGUUCUUUCUAUACUCCCAGUGACCUGUUCGUGUUAUCUCGCGUGAUUUCCAAGCAUCGUGCAGCUUCACAGAAUCGUACCUCGCUUCACCCCCUAAUUAAUAAUAGUGAUAAUAAUUAGCAUAUUUAUUUUUACCCGCCAUUAAUGCGUAUUUAAUUAGUAGUUACAAUCGUUCUACAGGUUAUUUGUCAUAAUUAAUAUUUUUGUAAUACGGAUGAUGAUGAUGAUGAUGAUGAUGAUGAUGAUGACGAUGGUGUUGAUGAUGACGACGAUGACGAUCGUGAUUAUAAAGGAGAGGUGAGAGUGGGAUGUACGGGGAGGCGGUAUUGUGUUAAUAGGUGGCAGGUUAAAAUGUAAUCGACUGCCAAGGUGUGACGCCCUGGCGGUUUUCGUAAUGCGUGUGUUUCUGUGGCGUUAGAGUUUGAAACCGAGUUACUAGUGAUUUCUACUGUUUUUACUGCGAGCGUUUUCGAGUCAGUGAUAUUAUUAACUCGGACCAUCGACGUAAUUGGCGAACUGGCACGGCGAUUGCAGGUGUAUUACCUUAUGAUCGCAGGUGUGACAUCUGUGAUUGCAGGUGUGACAUCUGUGAUUGCAGGUCUGGCAUCUGUGAUUGCAGGUGUGGUAUCUGUGAUUGCAGGUGUGGCAUCUGUGAUUGCAGGUCUGGCAUCUGUGAUUGCAGGUGUGGUAUCUGUGAUUGCAGGUGUGACAUCUGUGAUUGCAGGUGUGUUACCUAUGAUCACAGAUGUGGCAUCUGUGAUUGCAGGUGUGUUACUUAUGAUCACAGGUGUGACAUCUGUAAUUGCAGGUGUGUCACCUGUGAUUACACGUGUAACAUCUGUGAUUGAAGGUGUGACACCUGUGAUUACACGUGUGACGUCGGUGAUUGUAGUUCUGUCACCUGUGAUUGCAGGUAUGAUCAUCAGGUAACAACUCAAUGUCGUUCCUAUCUAGCGGGGAGCAUCAUCGUGUAGUGACAACAAUUUACUAUGUGUAGAAGAACUAGAAUAAGGCAUCGUCAAUCGCGUCGUGAUGAGCGUGGUUGUACUUGUAGCUUCAAAUCAUUACCUGGGUAUAGGAAGACGGGAGAACGGGAGACACGUGUUGGUGUGUAUAAUUGUAUGUAACUCACUAACUGUAAAGUUACGGAGAAGUUGGGAGAACUAUAGAUGUUCACGCUUGAGGUAGAAAGAACACUGUGCCAUCGUAUAGAUGUAAUAUUGCAUAAGGUGUAGUAGGAGACAAAUAGACAGUAUCGUUACGGCUGACUGUCGUUGUGGUUCUCGUUGCCGUGUCUCGCAUUCAAACGCUACAAACGCGAGCGUACUGCAGUGAAUAUAUACGAGUGUAGUCGUUGCGACGCUAGCGUCAUCGCUCGGCUGUCGCGGUGGCGAACUCGUUUCAGAACUGUCGUGAUCUUAGCAUGGAAUUUUAGUUUGCACGUUUUAUCAUAUACUUACCUAAAAUGUGAAUAAAAUCGAAUAAAGAUGACCAAUAACUAAA